GACAGAGGGCUCAAACGUUGUUCGGAAUUACUGGGCAUAAAGCGCACGUAGGCGGCUCAUUAAGUCGGUUGUGAAAUCCCUCGGCUCAACCGAGGAACUGCAUCCGAUACUGGUGGGCUCGAGGACGGGAGGGGUAAGUGGAACUCCAGGUGGAACGGUGAAAUGUGUAGAUAUCUGGAGGAACACCGGUGGCGAAAGCGGCUUACUGGCCCGUAUCUGACGCUGAUGUGCGAAAGCUAGGGGAGCAAACGGG
RNAcentral lists this ribosomal RNA (253 nucleotides) under uncultured bacterium. RNAcentral's name for it is "partial 16S ribosomal RNA". It matches the Rfam family "Bacterial small subunit ribosomal RNA", at positions 524 to 776 of the family's 1533-position model. The record is from RNAcentral.